This 1749-nucleotide long non-coding RNA is filed under the name Olea europaea subsp. europaea. Lineage: Eukaryota; Viridiplantae; Streptophyta; Magnoliopsida; Lamiales; Oleaceae. The record is from RNAcentral.
AUUUAUUUAUGCUAACACAACGAUCCAAAGCAACCUAUUUCUUAAAAGAAUUAAUAACUGCUAGUAUUUCUUGGGUUGACAAAAACUUUCUUAAUGCCCGGUAGUAGGAGGUUCGGAUCCGGAGGCGGAUGAGGAAGCUUGUACUCCGACCUUGCUGGUGGCCGAGGGAUGGAGCACAAUCCGACAAUGGAGCUUCGAGUAUGGAUCCGACUCAAGGAAAGCCAGUUGGUCCGUAUCGAAGAAAAUUCGGAUUUGGCGGGUUAGAAUUGAAUUAAUUUUUUUUUUUUUUUUUUUUUUAAGAACCCUAGAUUCAAGAUGGUGAUUUGGGGAACCUAAGAGAGCACGUUUCUGUUUUUGUUCAUCCUGUGUGUGUGUGUGUAUUUUAGAUUUCUUAUCAUAUGUUUGUAUGAUGAAGAUGAAUACAUAUAUGCAGAUAACAAAUUAUAUGCUCAAAAAACGUGAAAACACACCAAAGCAAUAUUUUAUUUCAAAGUAUUCAAAAUAUGCACAGAUCACGAUAUUAAGGAUGGAAUGGGUUUUGAUUGCAGAUGGAAUGGGUUUUCAUUAUGAACGUUUUAUACAUAUAUAUGCCAACAUGAAAUCCCAGCAGCCACAUCAAUUAUAGGUACGAAAAUUCAACGCGAGGUUGAAAAGUUUUGAAACAGUUGAGGUAGUAUAUUGAUUUAAUAAUGGAUUUUGAUCUUAACAUGCCGCUCUGAUACCAAUUGCUAGAUUUAAUGAAUAACAUGCAAAGAAUCAAGAAUCAUCAAAUAAUAAAUUAAUAAACCAAAUUCAUACCUGCGGAAGUCAUUGUUGAUAUGAAUAGUAGUUAUAAUAGCAGUCAAGAUCUUCUCCUCCUUGCUCCUCACAAAAGUAUUAGCUAUCAAUGGGGCAAGCUAAUGAAAACAUAUGGAGAUGGGACUUAACCUUUAUAUAUAAGAAAUAAUUUGAGCCGUCCCAUUACGACUAAAAUUCUAAUUAGAGUUUAUUUUCGACCCACAUACUUUAACCUACCACAUAAAAUUAAUUACAACACGUUAGGUGUAAAAUGCUCAAUUGAUCACUUAAUAAAUUUGGCCCAAACACAAAUAUUAUUAUGAGCCAUACAACUAACCUUUAAAAUCUGCAAUCCAAUCUGAAGCGCAUAUGAAAUAAUUAAUUAUUCCAACAAGAAAACCAUAGAUCACUCGUCUCAAGAUUCUUAGAUCUUCAAACUUGACAGGUUGAAGGAGAGAUCUGCUUGAAGCACAACCAUCUCUUCGCCUAAAGCACAAUUGCCUUCGUCCUUCUUAGCCAUUGCUUUCCUAUCGAAGGUUGCCCUCUUUCUUCUCUGUUGUCGCUUGCCAAUAGUGGGAGAGAUUCGUCUCAAGCACGUUCUUUUGCCCUAAAGCUUCAUCCAGUGCUUUUGUCCUCCUACACCGUGUUUUUACCGUAAAAAACCAAUUAUAUCAAGAAAGUUUAGCUGUAAAUUUAUCAUGUUCGUUUUGUAAUUUUAUAUCAUCGACUUUUAGACCUUAUCAUUGUUAUUUUAUGAUGGUAUUAACUGUGAUUUAGGUAUUUCAUGAAUUAAAUUUUUGAGAGAGUUAUAUUUAACAAUGAAAAAUGUUGUUUGUAUUGUCAUUAGUUCAAAGAAGUGCCUAUUAAAUUACAGUCAAAUCUGGAAUGCUGUUUGUGUUUAUUAGUCACCAUAUUCAGUUCUGAAUUUCCAAUUUUUUGUCGUUUCAGGUUUUAAUUCUGCAUAUCCUCUUU